UUUAUUUUUGCAGGGACAUCUUCCUUCAAAGAAGCUGAGUAUUGGUUGGUAGAGACAGAGAAGGCCUUUGCAACUAUUGUGAUAGUUCCCGAACAGAAGGUUGUACUUGUCACCUAUAUGCUUAUGGGUAAAGCAGGUCAAUGGUGGAAGUUGAAGCAGACCAUCAUGCCUAUUCUAAUCACUUGGGAAUAGUUCCUAGUAGCCUUCAAUGUAGAGUACCUCCCAGAGUAUCUUCGGCAUUUGAAAGAAAUAGAGUUUACACACCUGG
Molecule: long non-coding RNA, 268 nt
Filed under: Carica papaya (papaya)
Lineage: Eukaryota; Viridiplantae; Streptophyta; Magnoliopsida; Brassicales; Caricaceae
Description: long non-coding RNA (CPAP_LNC002363)
Source: RNAcentral